UAACCGUGCAAAGGUAGCGUAAUCAUUUGUCUUUUAAAUAAAGACCGGUAUGAACGGCUAAAUGAGGACAAACCUGUCUCUUAUGGCUAAUCAGUGAAACUGAUCUUCCAGUCCAAAAGCUGGAAUAAUUACAUAAGACGAGAAGACCCUGUGGAGCUUCAAACUAACCAUUAANAAGCAAAUAAANAUGCACCUAGUGNAUAGUUUUAAGUUGGGGCGACUUUGGAACAAAAUAAAACUUCCNAGCACAGAACCACAAAUUCUAACCACGGCCAACAAGCCAAAGUUCANAAAUACAGAUCCAGUAAUACUGAUCAACGAACCAAGUUACCCCAGGGAUAACAGCGCUAUCUUCUUCAAGAGUCCNUAUCGACAAGAAGGUUUACGACCUCGAUGUUGGAUCAGGACACCCAAAUGGUGCAGCCGCUAUUAAAGGUUCGUUUGUUCAACGAU
RNAcentral lists this ribosomal RNA (453 nucleotides) under Flexiseps aff. ornaticeps Sainte Luce. Its description in RNAcentral is "partial large subunit ribosomal RNA". It matches the Rfam family "Bacterial large subunit ribosomal RNA", at positions 1943 to 2588 of the family's 2925-position model. The record is from RNAcentral. Lineage: Eukaryota; Metazoa; Chordata; Lepidosauria; Squamata; Scincidae.